UACGGAGGGGGCAAGCGUUGUUCGGAAUUAUUGGGCGUAAAGGGCGCGUAGGCGACCGGCCAAGUCGGGUGUGAAAUCCCUCGGCUCAACCGAGGAACUGCACUCGAUACUGGCUGGCUUGAGUCCGGGAGGGGAUGGUGGAAUUCCCAGUGUAGCGGUGAAAUGCGUAGAUAUUGGGAAGAACACCGGUGGCGAAGGCGACCAUCUGGACCGGAACUGACGCUGAGGCGCGAAAGCCAGGGGAGCG
Molecule: ribosomal RNA, 247 nt
Filed under: uncultured bacterium
Lineage: Bacteria
Description: partial 16S ribosomal RNA
Rfam family: Bacterial small subunit ribosomal RNA
Source: RNAcentral